CCGGGGGCGCCCUCUACUGCGGCGUCUCCUCAGCGAGUGCCUCCUCUCCCUCUCCUUCCCGUUUCAUAAUCUAACAUACUGAGAGAUGACAACGUGCUAGCAGCCCUUGCUCGCUCUCAGCGCCUCCUCCGCCUCGGCGUCCGCUCUGGCCGCACUCGAGGAGGCCCUUCAGCCCGCCACUGCGCUAUGAGGGCCCCUCUCUGGGGCUGGCCGAGGCCUGAGCCGGCUCCCUCUGCUCUCGCGGAAGUGUGAAGAGAGAGGCGCUGCAAGAGCCAGGGGUGCGCGCGGCGCUCGCGGGUCGGCGCGAGUUCCAGGUGAGCGCGGGCUCGGCAAGCCCCGCACUCGGCGCGACCGGCUGGCGCCUGCUGGGUUUGAUCGGGGGGACGAGUUCCCUCUGGGCUGCCAGAGUGCCCGGGCUACGUGCCGCAAAGUCCCGCAGCGGUGAGUGCCAUUGAGAGGUGAAGCUGGCUGGGCUUCUGGGUGGGGUGGGGACUUGAGAACUUUUCUGUCUAGCUAAAGGAUUGUAAAUGCACCAAUCAGCACUCUGUGUCUGCCUAAAGGUUUGUAAACGCACCAAUCAGCACUCUGUCAAAACGGACCAAUCAGCGCUCUGUAAAGCGGACCAAUCAGCUCUCUGUAAAAUGGACCAAUCAACAGGAUGUGGGUGGGGCCAAAUAAAGGAAUAAAAGCAGGCCACCGCUAGUAGCAGCAAUCGGCUCGGUCCACUUUUAGGUAGUAGAGGUUUUGUUCUUUUGCUCUUCGCAAUAAAUCUUACUGCUGUUCAGUCUUUGGGUCUGCUGCUGUGUUUAAGCUGUAACAUUCACUGGGAAGGUCUGUAGCUUCACUCCGGGAGCCAGGGGGGCUACAAACCCACCAGAAAGAAUAAACUCCAGACACAUCUGAACAUAGGAAAGAAAAGACUCCGGACACACAGUGUGUAAGAACUGUAAUAUUCACUGUGAGGGUCCAGGGCCUCAAGACCAAGAACCCAACAAUUCCGGAUACAAUACUAUGAUAGUUAUAUAAUUAUCAUGCAACUCUUUUCUGUUCGUUUAUUUGAGACAGAGUCUCCGUCUGUUGCCAAGGCUGGAGUGCAGUGGUGCGAUCCCGGCUCACUGCAACCCCCCGCCCCCCCGGUUCAAGGGAUUCACUUGUUUCAGCCUCCCCGAGUAGCUGGGAUUAGGGGUGCACGCCACCACGCCCAGCUGCUUUUUUUUUCAGGACCUCAGGUGAUCUGCCCACCUCAGGCUCCCAAAGUGCUGGGAUUACAGUUGUGAGCCACUGCACCCAGCCACUAAUAUUAUUUUUAAUAACAGUACCUAGAUAAUUG
RNAcentral lists this long non-coding RNA (1330 nucleotides) under Homo sapiens (human). RNAcentral's name for it is "HSALNT0187538". The record is from RNAcentral. Lineage: Eukaryota; Metazoa; Chordata; Mammalia; Primates; Hominidae.